Molecule: transfer RNA, 75 nt
Filed under: Aquifex aeolicus
Lineage: Bacteria; Pseudomonadati; Aquificota; Aquificia; Aquificales; Aquificaceae
Also listed under: 4 other names
Description: tRNA-Ala
Rfam family: tRNA
About the family: Transfer RNA (tRNA) molecules are approximately 80 nucleotides in length. Their secondary structure includes four short double-helical elements and three loops (D, anti-codon, and T loops). Further hydrogen bonds mediate the characteristic L-shaped molecular structure. tRNAs have two regions of fundamental functional importance: the anti-codon, which is responsible for specific mRNA codon recognition, and the 3' end, to which the tRNAs corresponding amino acid is attached (by aminoacyl-tRNA synthetases). tRNAs cope with the degeneracy of the genetic code in two manners: having more than one tRNA (with a specific anti-codon) for a particular amino acid; and 'wobble' base-pairing, i.e. permitting non-standard base-pairing at the 3rd anti-codon position.
Source: RNAcentral
GGGGGCGUAGCUCAGUGGGAGAGCGCCUGCAUGGCAUGCAGGAGGUCGUGGGUUCGAAUCCCACCGCCUCCACUA